This 310-nucleotide unclassified non-coding RNA is filed under the name Hevea brasiliensis (rubber tree). The record is from RNAcentral. Lineage: Eukaryota; Viridiplantae; Streptophyta; Magnoliopsida; Malpighiales; Euphorbiaceae.
UGAUCCUGCACAUAGCGUAGACCACAAUACUUGCAGACGGCUGGUUCCUUCAAGUCAAGGCAUAUGAACUCAAUAGGAUGCCCGAGUGCAGGAUUAGUGUCUCCUUCGCAUGCAACAAUCCUGCCUUCAACCUUGAUGGGGGGAAUUUCAUUGAUCAACUCCAUUGGAGAUUUCUUGCUAGCAUCCUGCAUCCAUUUGGCAGUAUGGUUGCUAAUUUGACUGGUGACAAGGCUAAAACUUCUGGCGUUCCAACCCAAAUUGGAGGAUCUCGUUAGGGUUCCCAACAAAGUCGAAGCCAUUGUUGGCUGCC